GUGCUCGCUUCGGCAGCACAUCAAUUAACACUGGAAUGAUACGCAGAAGACCAGCCUGGCUCCUGCGUAAGGAUGACACGUAAAAGUCAGAAAAUAAGAGGAUAUUU
Hyaena hyaena (striped hyena) is the source of this 107-nucleotide small nuclear RNA. Lineage: Eukaryota; Metazoa; Chordata; Mammalia; Carnivora; Hyaenidae. The record is from RefSeq and is a predicted model, not a curated record.